UGGCGCCCAACGUGGGGCUCAAGACUGGGGGACUUAGUGAGGAUGCUGUUCUUGGGCCCAAGGUAGAAAAGGAAAAGAAAAUAGAGGACCGAGGUGGGAGCCUGCCACGCUGCUGAACCUCCGUAAGUUAACAGCGAUUAUGGGACAAGCAAUUAGCUAGCAUGAGACUUCUGUUGAAAGUUUAGAAAAGCUUUAAAGACGCAAAGGGUAAAGGGAAAAAAAAAUUUAGCAAUUGUGUCCAUUAGGACAAGAAAUGAGCCAAGGUGAGGUUUUUGUUAAAAGUUUAAGGCUUU
Cavia porcellus (domestic guinea pig) is the source of this 293-nucleotide regulatory RNA element. It matches the Rfam family "Mason-Pfizer monkey virus packaging signal". From Rfam's summary of the family: The packaging signal is located in the 5' UTR and is required for specific RNA encapsidation. NCBI's taxonomy places the organism in Eukaryota, Metazoa, Chordata, Mammalia, Rodentia, Caviidae. The record is from Rfam.